RNAcentral lists this long non-coding RNA (583 nucleotides) under Mytilus galloprovincialis (Mediterranean mussel). The record is from RNAcentral. Lineage: Eukaryota; Metazoa; Mollusca; Bivalvia; Mytilida; Mytilidae.
CAUUUCACUGACACUAAUUUCGAGGUGCUUAGUGGUAAUUACUGUUAAUAGAACUUAAAAACCACAAGUAUAUUGUACGCCUACAAACAACAGAUAAUACAAAAGAUGUGUCAAACACAUAGCACAACAGAUCAUACAAAAAUGUGUCAGAUGCAUAACACAACAAAUAAUACAAAAGAUGUGACAAACACAUAAAACACAAUACAAAAGAUUUGUCAAACACAUUAAAAAAAACACAAAAAAGUGUGUCAAACACAUAAAACAACAGAUAAUAAAAAAGAUGUGUCAAACACAUAUAUAAUAAAGGGCUGCGCUUUAGCGCAUGAUACGCCCGUUGCUCUUUUAACUUGUCUUUUAUGCUUUAAAUGAAUUUAUAUGAUCAACUAGAAAUAGUGUGAGCCCUGUCAAAUCCCCCUCCCCAAAUAAUAAAUAAAAAUGCACAAAAAAAUUGGCACUAUUAAGGCUACCUCAAAUUUAACUAAGUUUGUUGUCUUUAAUUUUUCAUCCAUACAUAAAAUUUUGUGAAAGUGUUAUUAUUGUCCCAAAAUUGGAAAAAUCCCCCCUUUUUUAAGCAUAAAAAUUC